This 425-nucleotide ribosomal RNA is filed under the name uncultured bacterium. RNAcentral's name for it is "partial 16S ribosomal RNA". It matches the Rfam family "Bacterial small subunit ribosomal RNA", at positions 354 to 796 of the family's 1533-position model. The record is from RNAcentral.
GUGGGGAAUAUUGGGCAAUGGGCGAAAGCCUGACCCAGCAACGCCGCGUGAAGGAAGAAGGUUUUCGGAUCGUAAACUUCUAUCCUUGGUGAAGAUAAUGACGGUAGCCAAGAAGGAAGCCCCGGCUAACUACGUGCCAGCAGCCGCGGUAAUACGGAGGGUGCAAGCGUUAUCCGGAAUCACUGGGUUUAAAGGGUACGUAGGCGGUUAAUUAAGUCAGUAGUGAAAGACUGUCGCUCAACGACGGAUGUGCUAUUGAUACUGGUUAACUUGAAUCAGGUUAGAGUUGGCGGAAUGGGUCAUGUAGCGGUGAAAUGCUUAGAUAUGACUUGGAACACCGAUAGCGAAGGCAACUGACUGAGCCUUGAUUGACGCUGAGGUACGAAAGUGUGGGUAGCGAACAGGAUUAGAUACCCGUGUAGUCC